RNAcentral lists this ribosomal RNA (1417 nucleotides) under uncultured bacterium. RNAcentral describes it as "bacterial SSU rRNA". It matches the Rfam family "Bacterial small subunit ribosomal RNA". The record is from RNAcentral.
AGAGUUUGAUCCUGGCUCAGGACGAACGCUGGCGGCAUGCCUAAGACAUGCAAGUCGAACGAGGUGGCCCAUUGAAGAAGGAGUGCUUGCACAAUUUUGGAUUUGGAUUCCCACCUAGUGGCGAACGGGUGAGUAACACGUGGGUAACCUACCUUUAAGCCUGGGAUAACAGUCGGAAACGAUUGCUAAUACCGGAUAUUAUGUAAGAAGAUAACUUCUUAUAUUAAAAGGCGCUUCAAAGCGCUGCUUAAAGAUGGGCCUGCGCUGCAUUAGCUAGUUGGUGGGGUAAUGGCCUACCAAGGCGACGAUGCAUAGCCGAGCUGAGAGGUUGAUCGGCCACACUGGGACUGAGACACGGCCCAGACUCCUACGGGAGACAGCAGUUAGGAAUAUUCGACAAUGGGGGAAACCCUGAUCGAGCGAUGCCGCGUGAGUGAUGACGGUCUAUAAGAUUGUAAAACUCUGUUGUUUGGGAAGAACGACCAAAGUAGGAAAUGACUUUGGCCUGACGGUACCAUUCCAGAAAGCCCCGGCUAACUAUGUGCCAGCAGCCGCGGUAAUACAUAGGGGGCGAGCGUUGUCCGGAUUUAUUGGGCGUAAAGAGUGCGCAGGCGGUUUGUUAAGUUUAAGGUUAAAUACUGAGGCUCAACUUCAGUUCGCCUUAAAAACUGGCAAACUCGAGUAUGGUAGAGGCAAGUGGAAUUUCUAGUGUAGCGGUAGAAUGCGUAGAUAUUAGAAGGAACACCAGUGGCGAAGGCGACUUGCUGGGCCAUUACUGACGCUCAUGCACGAAAGCGUGGGGAGCAAAUAGGAUUAGAUACCCUAGUAGUCCACGCCGUAAACGUUGAGUACUAAGUGUCGGGUUUCCGGUGCUGAAGUUAACACACUAAGUACUCCGCCUGAGUAGUACGGUCGCAAGGCUGAAACUCAAAGGAAUUGACGGGCACCCGCACAAGCGGUGGAGCAUGCUGUUUAAUUCGAAGAUACGCGAAGAACCUUACCUGGGUUUGACAUCUCUCAGAUCGCUCUAGAAAUAGAGUUUCCCUUCGGGGCUGAGAGACAGGUGGUGCAUGGUUGUCGUCAGCUCGUGUCGUGAGAUGUAGGGUUAAGUCCCAUAACGAGCGCAACCCUCGUCCUUAGUUACUAACAUUUAGUUGAGGACUCUAAGGAGACUGCCGGUGAUAAACCGGAGGAAGGUGGGGAGGACGUCAAAUCAUCAUGCCCCCUACGUCCAGGGCUACAAGCGUGCUACAAUGGCCGGUAUAAUAAGAUGCAAUAUCGUGAGAUGGAGCAAAUCUAGAAAAUCGGUCUCAGUUCGGAUUGAAGUCUGCAACUCGACUUCAUGAAGCAGGAAUCGCUAGUAAUCGCAAAUCAGAAUGUUGCGGUGAAUAAGUUCCCGGGUGUUGUACUCACCGCC